UACGGAGGGUGCAAGCGUUAUCCGGAUUCACUGGGUUUAAAGGGUGUGUAGGCGGACUUUUAAGUCAGUGGUGAAAUCUCCAGGCUCAACCUGGAAACUGCCAUUGAUACUAUUAGUCUUGAAUUCUGUUGAGGUGGGCGGAAUACAUCAUGUAGCGGUGAAAUGCUUAGAUAUGAUGUAGAACACCGAUUGCGAAGGCAGCUCACUAAACAGACAUUGACGCUGAGGCACGAAAGCGUGGGGAUCAAACAGG
This 253-nucleotide unclassified non-coding RNA is filed under the name uncultured Chitinophagales bacterium. RNAcentral's name for it is "contains 16S-23S intergenic spacer region". It matches the Rfam family "Bacterial small subunit ribosomal RNA", at positions 524 to 776 of the family's 1533-position model. Lineage: Bacteria; Pseudomonadati; Bacteroidota; Chitinophagia; Chitinophagales. The record is from RNAcentral.